Molecule: unclassified non-coding RNA, 478 nt
Filed under: Hevea brasiliensis (rubber tree)
Lineage: Eukaryota; Viridiplantae; Streptophyta; Magnoliopsida; Malpighiales; Euphorbiaceae
Source: RNAcentral
AAGAAGUCCAUCUCUGCUGAACUUUUCUUUCGGUGAUCAGGCUGCAUUUUUCUAAAUAAUUCGAGAAACCCCACAAAUCCAAGUAUAAAUCCGAAUCGAGUGAUCCAAGUAGACAAGAGUGUUGAAUUCAGAAAUUCAGCCGCAUUUACCCCAACGUCCUCUGCUACGGAUGGCGAAAGAACAGUCCCAGUCCCACCUAAUCCUCUUCAAAUUGUCCAAAACUGGUAUUAUUAUUAUCACGUUAUCCUGAUCCUUCAUAAACUCUCCCUCAACAAGAAUCAUAGAAAUGGGUUCAACAUUUCCACAAAAAUACCUCCAAAAAACAAAACCCUAAAUCUCAAAAUUCAAAAUUGCAAGAACUCCGGGAUGGGAUAAUUAAUAAUGGAGUAUGAAAUCAAAGAGAUAUGUGGAUCUGAAGAAACCCUAGCUGGUGGGGAAGAGGGAGAUCUGACACCGACAAUAUUGAGGUGGGGUUGGA